GAUAUACACCCUCCUUCCGGAAAUACUUGUCAUCAAAAUGGAUAAAAGGGGAUGUAUCUAGAUGUAUUUUAUUUCUAGAUACAUGUUUUUUAUCCAUUUCGGUGACAAGUAUUUUCGGACGGAGUGAUACUUG
Triticum aestivum (bread wheat) is the source of this 133-nucleotide non-coding RNA. The record is from Rfam. Lineage: Eukaryota; Viridiplantae; Streptophyta; Magnoliopsida; Poales; Poaceae.